UGGGGAAUAUUGCACAAUGGGCGCAAGCCUGAUGCAGCGACGCCGCGUGGGGGAUGACGGCCUUCGGGUUGUAAACUCCUUUCGCUAGGGACGAAGCUUUUUGUGACGGUACCUAGAUAAGAAGCACCGGCUAACUACGUGCCAGCAGCCGCGGUAAUACGUAGGGUGCGAGCGUUGUCCGGAAUUACUGGGCGUAAAGAGCUCGUAGGCGGUUUGUCACGUCGUCUGUGAAAUCCUAGGGCUUAACCCUGGACGUGCAGGCGAUACGGGCUGACUUGAGUACUACAGGGGAGACUGGAAUUUCUGGUGUAGCGGUGGAAUGCACAGAUAUCAGGAAGAACACCGAUGGCGAAGGCAGGUCUCUGGGUAGUAACUGACGCUGAGGAGCGAAAGCAUGGGUAGCGAACAGG
Molecule: ribosomal RNA, 410 nt
Filed under: Verrucomicrobiota bacterium
Lineage: Bacteria; Pseudomonadati; Verrucomicrobiota
Description: Verrucomicrobia bacterium partial 16S ribosomal RNA
Rfam family: Bacterial small subunit ribosomal RNA
Source: RNAcentral